RNAcentral lists this ribosomal RNA (520 nucleotides) under uncultured bacterium. RNAcentral describes it as "bacterial SSU rRNA". It matches the Rfam family "Bacterial small subunit ribosomal RNA", at positions 12 to 525 of the family's 1533-position model. The record is from RNAcentral.
UUUGAUCCUGGCUCAGGAUGAACGCUAGCUGGAGGCUUAAUACAUGCAAGUCGAGCGGGAUGCAGUUGUCUUCGGAUGAUUGUUGAGAGCGGCGAACGGGUGAGUAACGCGUACACGACCUACCUUUGACAGGGGGAUAGCCCUGGGAAACUGGGAUUAAUACCGCAUAUUAUCCUGAUUAAUAAAGAAUUGGAAUGAAAGUUCAGGCGGUCAAAGAUGGGUGUGCGUCUGAUUAGCUAGUUGGUAGGGUAACGGCCUACCAAGGCGAUGAUCAGUAGGGGGCGUGAGAGCGUGAUCCCCCACACGGGUACUGAGACACGGACCCGACUCCUACGGGAGGCAGCAGUAAGGAAUAUUGGACAAUGGCCGCAAGGCUGAUCCAGCCAUCCAGCGUGCAGGAAGACGGCCCUACGGGUUGUAAACUGCUUUUAUCAGGGAAGAAACCUUUGGAUUUACUCCGAAGCUGACGGUACCUGAAGAAUAAGCACCGGCUAACUCCGUGCCAGCAGCCGCGGUAAUA